RNAcentral lists this unclassified non-coding RNA (136 nucleotides) under uncultured Ascomycota. RNAcentral's name for it is "sequence contains ITS1". Lineage: Eukaryota; Fungi; Ascomycota. The record is from RNAcentral.
UCGUGGGGGCAACCCCAUCGAGAUAACACCCCAUGCCUUUUGAGAACCGCCCGUUUCCCCGGCAGGUCCGCCUGCCAGCGGGGACUAUACAAACCCUUUUAGUACAAGCAGUCAGCGUUAAACAAUGAAUAAAUUA